This 495-nucleotide long non-coding RNA is filed under the name Nicotiana tabacum (common tobacco). RNAcentral describes it as "long non-coding RNA (NTAB_LNC012689)". Lineage: Eukaryota; Viridiplantae; Streptophyta; Magnoliopsida; Solanales; Solanaceae. The record is from RNAcentral.
CCAAAGUCAAAUACAAUUAUAAGAGUUCAACUAUCCAAAAGAAAAAUCAACUAGAAUAUACAUUGAAUCAGGUUGAUAGAGACACAAACAUCAUGAAGAAAGCACAAUUGAAUCGUAAAUAAAGCUAUUACUACGCUCUCAAUUCUGUUUUUCAUUUCCAUCUUCAAAUUGAGCCUCACAUCAGAUAAGAUUCAGAACAUGUACCUGGGAACUAAAAGGGAACAAAAAGGUGAAGAAUCAGUAAGGAGCAGCAGCAGAAACCAACUUAAAAUUCAGCAAUGAAACAGUAUAAAAUCAGUAGAACAAGCCUCGAAGCCUUGAUCAAUUCCAGACUUCUAAAACCCAGUUUAAACCAUUCUACUGAACCCUUGAAAUUCUGAUUUACCAAAGGAAAAUAAAACUCGAAAACCAAGCCAAAACUUCAAACAAUUUUCAGUGUUCUUACUUGAGAGAAAAUAUCUAGCCGUUUUCAAAAUUUUUGUGUUUUUCAAUCCC